UCCUUCAUGCUAUUGAAAAAUGCACUGAGGGGAAAAGCUUUUCUGAAUGGAAAACUAAAUUGCCAUCUGAGCUUGUCCAGAAACUGGAUGGUAAGAAGAAAGGCUAUCCUGAGAACACACUGGGAUUGCUGCGUUUCAUACGCAACCUACACGAGCAUUAUCCAGAUGACGCAGAGAGCAUCAACCUGAUGGAUUCAUUCCCUGAUCUCUUUGGGAGUGUGUUCAGG
Molecule: long non-coding RNA, 227 nt
Organism: Megalobrama amblycephala (Wuchang bream)
Lineage: Eukaryota; Metazoa; Chordata; Actinopteri; Cypriniformes; Xenocyprididae
Exons: 3
Source: RefSeq, a predicted model, not a curated record